UGUUUAGUUGUAAUCUUAGCUGGAGAGCAAAAGUGGUUAACGUAAAGUAUAUGAACAGUCGUUGUCGCCUACUAGAUGAGCUGUAAGGAUCAGUACUCAAACUGCAUACGCUUUUGAUCAAUCAAUUAGAGCAUGUAGUUUUACCAUUCUUUAGGACAAACCAAAAGCAUUUUGAUUUUAGUUACCUAUAGAAGAGAAACGGUUUUGUUUUCUACUUCACAGUCAAUAUAGGCAACUCAACGUCCACUUCAGAGACUUUCCUGCUACCGUAGAAAAGAAAAGAACGUAUCAAUCUUGUCUGCAUCUCAGACAUAUGUUUGCUUGCUUUUAAAAAAAUGUGUAUUGGCCAUUUGAUGUUGAAACUUCUGCAAAGUGAAAGUUUUUCUUACAGUUUGUUAUCUUUGAUCGUUUGUAGGUAUUUUAUUCUUUUGUGUUUCCAUUUUACAAAAGGACACAGAAGUUUAAGCCUAGUCAUUUUAAUUGUCUCUAUCAUUUGCUUGUUAAGCAUAUAUUUAAUUAUGAAUGCGGUAUGCUUAUUAUGUCACUAGUUGUUUCGACUAUGUAAUUAAGCAAAACUAUUUUAAUAAACUUUGAAAACGAAAGAAAAUGUUAAAAAAGCUUUACUAAUCUUGAGUUGGAUUCCAUAUCAAAUUUUAUCGGCCCUCCGACAAAAGAAAAGGCUGGCCAGAUGGAAAGUAAUAGUAAAUGUGUAACGGGUUUAAAGUGAGUGACAAAUCUACACUCACUUUUACCAAAAAAAAAAUUCUACACUCACUGAAAACAUAAUAAUUAAGUCUAUUUAAAUGGUGGGUUUAUGGGGGCAUGAAACUAUAAAAUGAUAUCAUUUGAUCAUGCGAGAUUAGGUAAAACGAAACAAUCAGGCUAAAAUCCAAAGUGAUUGUAAGCCGCCUAUCUUUUCUUUUUUCGUAAAAAGAUUUUCUAUUAAAAUGCAAGAGAAAGAAAAGGGUUACGGAGUUUUUACUCAGUGGCCAAGUGGCCUACAUAUUAUGGAAACAAACUUGAAUCCUCACAAAGUGUAGUUUAGAUGAGUAGAAGAAGCGUAGCUAGCAAUUAGUUAGGAGAGCCAUAACUGCAUCAGUGUGGAGAAGAAGAUUGGCCUAUCGAAUCUCAAGCUAGAGAUUCUGAUUUUUAACUGUGACUUUGAUCUGUUUGAGAAGGCCUUCCGUUGAGGAAAAGAGCCGCCUAUCUUUUCCUUACAGUGUUGUAAUACAUGUGUGUGUUUUCUUCUCUCCAACCCGUAUAGUUAACUGCAUACUCGUAUCAUUUUUUUAAAAAAAAUAAGAAAGUUUUUAUCUACCGAAAAUAACACAAAGACAAAACCAAAUCCCUUAUAUAUUAAUUGAGGAACAUUUGAAAAGAUGUAACCUCAAUUUUGUAUUAAUUAAAAGAGGCCCCAAUGCAUAGGUGGCACUCAAUUAGGUAGUCAAUUACAUUCAAUUGAAAAAUAAGUAGGUCCACAUUCGAUUUUUAUAUGUUGUUAGAUACAUAAGUUGGUCAAACUAUAUGAUAUAAUGAUAUGAUUGAUAUUUUCUUUCCUUAAAGAAAACCUACGGAAUUACCAUAAAGGACUAAUAUAUAUAUGACAAUUAAUGAGUUUAAUAAUAAAGAUUUGAUAACAAUGUAUAUCUCCUCUAUCAUUUUUUGUUUAAUUUUAUAUUAUUAAAAUAAAUUAAACAAUCAAAUUAGCUAUAAAAAUAAAAUUUAGAUUUUUUCGUAUAUGUUAUAUUUUGAAUUUUUAAAAACGACAAUAAAUGACUAAAACUAUUAAAAUUAUUAUGUUAAAAAUUAAUGAUCAAUGGUUUAACAUUUUUAUUAUAAGAAGAUACACAUGAUUUUAAAACCAUAUGAGUAAAAAAUAUCAUUUAAUAAUAAAAUAAAUAUAUAUAUAUAUAUAUAUUAAACACUAUAUACCAUAAGAUUACAUAAAUAUUUUAAUAUUAAAACUUUCAAUGAAUUUUCAAGAACAUUUAUAAAUUAUAAACUUAUUAAAAAUUUCAGAUUGAAAAUUUUGUUAUCGAUGAUUUAAAUAUUUUGUUAUAAAACGAUAUGAACGAUCAUAGAACCGUAUGAUUAUAAAUUCUUAUUUAAUAAAUAAUUAUAUAAAAUAUACUAUUCCUAGAAAAAUAGGUUGGUCCAUCUUAACUUAUAUUACACUUUUUAUUAAACUAAUUAUCGAAUUGAUAAAUAACGUACCAAAAAAUGUUUUGCACUUUCCUUAAAUAAAAGCUACGAAAUUACCUAAUAUGAUUAACGUAUAUGUGAAAAUUAAUUAUAAUGAAUAAUAAAUAUUUGAUAACAAUUUUUAUAUCUUAGUUCUUUUUUUAAUUUUAUAUUAUUAAAAUAUAUUUAAAAAUCACAUUAAAUAUAUAAUAAAAACAUUUAUAAUUUUUUUAUAUGUUAUAUUUUGAAUUUUUCAAAACGUCUAUAAAUUAUUAGAAAUUUGAAGAUCCCCACUCUGAAAAUUUUGUGAUCAAUAGAUUAUUUUUUUUGUCAUAAUAAGUUACAAAUGAUCAUAAAAUUGUAUUAAGAUGAAUUUUUAUUUAAUAUUAUAAGAAGAUACACAUUAUUUUAAAACCAUAUGAGUAAAAACAUUUAUAAAUUAUAAACUUAUUAAAGAUUUCACAUUGAAAAUUUUGUUAUCGAUGAUUUAAAUAUUCAGUUAUAAAAUGAUAUGAAUGAUCAUAGAACUGUAUGAUUAUAAAUUCUCAUUUAAUAAAUGACUAUAUAAAAUAUACUAUUCUUAGAAAAAUAGGUUGGUCCAUCUUGACUUACAUUAUAUUUUUUAUUAAACUAACUAUCGAAUUGAUAAAUAAUCUACCAAAAUUUUUUUUGCACUUUCCUUAAUUAGAAGCUACGAAAUUACCUAAUAUGAUUAACGUAUAUAUGAAAAUUAAUUAUUAUGAAUAAUAAAUAUUUGAUAACAAUUUUGGUAUCUUAGUUCUUUUUUUUAAAUUUUAUAUUAUUGAAAGAUAUUAAAAAAUCACAUUAAAUAUAUAAUAAAAACAUUUAUAUUUUUUCUUAUAUGUUAUAUUUGAAUUUUUCAAAACGUCUAUAUAUUAUUAGAAAUUUGAAUAUUCCCACUCUGAAAAUUUUGUGAUCAAUAGAUUAUUUUUUUGUUAUAAUAAGUUACAAAUGAUCAUAAAAUAUAACGCAUAUGAAUUUUAUUUAAUGAAUAUAUAUAUAUAUAUAUAUAUAUAAACAUUAAUGAUUUAAAGCAACAAGAUUGGCUGAUCAAUUUAGUCGUCGAGUUGAAAUCUUUCAAAAGUAUGUGAAAAACAAAAGUCAAAGUAAAUAUAGAUUUAGAAUAGUAGUUAUAUUUUACUAACCAAAUACCGAAAAAACCCGAACCGAACCGAAACCAAUCCGAUAUCCGGAUUAAUCCAAAUGAAGCCAAACUAUUGUUUCAUUUUCCAAAAUAUAAUAAAAAUAAUAACUUAAUCCCGCGCAAGGCGCGGGUCUUAUCCUAGUUAGUUAGUAAUAGUGUUACGUACGUACUAUCGUGUUAUAUUUUAAAUUCAAACAUGAUGUGCAUGUGUAAGUUUCUAAG
RNAcentral lists this long non-coding RNA (3568 nucleotides) under Brassica rapa (field mustard). Its description in RNAcentral is "long non-coding RNA (BRAP_LNC004122)". The record is from RNAcentral. Lineage: Eukaryota; Viridiplantae; Streptophyta; Magnoliopsida; Brassicales; Brassicaceae.